This 87-nucleotide non-coding RNA is filed under the name Pseudoglutamicibacter albus. Its description in RNAcentral is "Arthrobacter albus SAM-I sequence". It matches the Rfam family "SAM riboswitch aptamer (S box leader)". From Rfam's summary of the family: The SAM riboswitch is found upstream of a number of genes which code for proteins involved in methionine or cysteine biosynthesis in Gram-positive bacteria. The SAM riboswitch acts at the level of transcription termination control. Lineage: Bacteria; Bacillati; Actinomycetota; Actinomycetes; Micrococcales; Micrococcaceae. The record is from RNAcentral. RNAcentral also lists the same sequence under 1 other name.
AACCCAUCCAGAGCGACUGAGAGACCUGGCUCGUUGACGUCGCAGCAACCGGUUUAUGCACGGUGCUCCCGCCAGGAACGAUGGAAA